AGAGUUUGAUCCUGGCUCAGGACGAACGCUGGCGGCGUGCCUAACACAUGCAAGUCGAACGGAGUAAGUAGCAAUACUUACUUAGUGGCGAACGGGUGAGUAACGCGUAGACAACCUGCCUCUCAACUGGGGACAACACUGCGAAAGUGGUGCUAAUACCGAAUGUGGUAUCUUGGUUGCAUGACAAAGAUAAGAAAGAUGGCCUCUAUAUAUAAGCUAUCGUUGAGAGAUGGGUCUGCGUCUGAUUAGCUAGUUGGUGAGGUAGUGGCUCACCAAGGCGACGAUCAGUAGCCGGUCUGAGAGGAUGAACGGCCACACUGGGACUGAGACACGGCCCAGACUCCUACGGGAGGCAGCAGUGGGGAAUCUUCCGCAAUGGACGAAAGUCUGACGGAGCAACGCCGCGUGAGUGAAGAAGGCCUUCGGGUCGUAAAGCUCUGUCGUUUGGGACGAAUGUGCUGUGUGUGAAUAAUGCAUAGUAAUGACGGUACCAAAGGAGGAAGCCACGGCUAACUACGUGCCAGCAGCCGCGGUAAUACGUAGGUGGCAAGCGUUGUCCGGAAUUAUUGGGCGUAAAGGGCGUGUAGGUGGACUCAUAAGUCGUGUGUCUAAGUGCGAAGCUCAACUUCGUAUAGGCGCAGGAAACUGUGAGCCUUGAGUGCAGGAGAGGAAAGUGGAAUUCCCAGUGUAGCGGUGAAAUGCGUAGAUAUUGGGAGGAACACCAGUGGCGAAGGCGACUUUCUGGACUGUGUCUGACACUGAGGCGCGAAAGCCAGGGGAGCGAACGGGAUUA
RNAcentral lists this ribosomal RNA (793 nucleotides) under uncultured Bacillota bacterium. RNAcentral's name for it is "bacterial SSU rRNA". It matches the Rfam family "Bacterial small subunit ribosomal RNA", at positions 8 to 780 of the family's 1533-position model. Lineage: Bacteria; Bacillati; Bacillota. The record is from RNAcentral.